RNAcentral lists this ribosomal RNA (253 nucleotides) under uncultured bacterium. RNAcentral's name for it is "partial 16S ribosomal RNA". It matches the Rfam family "Bacterial small subunit ribosomal RNA", at positions 524 to 776 of the family's 1533-position model. The record is from RNAcentral.
UACGUAGGUGGCAAGCGUUGUCCGGAUUUACUGGGCGUAAAGAGCGCGCAGGCGGUCGUUCAAGUCGCGUGUGAAAGCCCCCGGCUCAACUGGGGAGGGUCACGCGAUACUGAUCGACUCGAAGGCAGGAGAGGGUAGUGGAAUUCCCGGUGUAGUGGUGAAAUGCGUAGAUAUCAUCAGGAACACCGGUGGCGAAAGCGGCUUACUGGGUCUCUUCUGACGCUGAGGUACGAAAGCUAGGGGAGCGAACGGG